Long non-coding RNA from Dendroctonus ponderosae (mountain pine beetle), 680 nucleotides. RefSeq lists it as uncharacterized. The record is from RefSeq and is a predicted model, not a curated record. The transcript is spliced from 3 exons. Lineage: Eukaryota; Metazoa; Arthropoda; Insecta; Coleoptera; Curculionidae.
UAAAAAAUCUUGUGCGUUUCAGUUUUAAGUUGACAAUAAUUAAAAGAGAUAAAAAUUAGUGAAAAUAAGAUGAUAAGGCACAAUAAAUAAGAUAUGAAUUAAUUUAAACCAUUAAAGAAGGUUUGAAACAAUGGGAAUGAAACAAAAUUGAGUUGCAAAUCCAGUUGUACAAGUCCAGUGGAAGAUAGUGCCACGAAUCGCUGCAUGAGAUCCUCUUUUGGGAUCAGAACAGCCCGAUCAACACCAGCCAAGAUGUUUAGUCCUUGAAACCUUGACAAGUUUUAAAGAAAGGAAGUCAGGCAAGGGCGCCCAAAACAAGAAGAAGACAUUUAUGGACAAGCCGCAGCUUUUUACGUUAAGCACUGUUAACGUCACUGCAUUGACGGCGAAAUGGCGGAUAAUUAAAUGGAAACCUGAAAUUGGUGAAGUUUUUUCAAAGGCGGCAUUUCAUAAUUUUUCAUAGGUGUAGGGAGGCUUUUCAAAACCGUAAAAAAUUCAAAAAUAAAUUGUAUUACCAAAGUUGGAGACAGGAGAGAGAGUAGGACAUAACAAUCAAAUAUCGAGCCAAUUUAAUGCGUUAUAAUCAUCAUUGUUAAUCAACUUCCAGCCGUUUUCCCUAGAGGACGCUUUGAAUGUUAAUUGUUUAAAAAAUAUAUGUCCAGGAGUUUUAUUUAUAAAAA